GUUUAAUUCGACGCAACGCGAAGAACCUUACCAGGUCUUGACAUUGAUGGACAGAACUAGAGAUAGUUCCUCUUCUUCGGAAGCCAGAAAACAGGUGGUGCACGGUUGUCGUCAGCUCGUGUCGUGAGAUGUUGGGUUAAGUCCCGCAACGAGCGCAACCCCUAUCUUAUGUUGCCAGCACGUAAUGGUGGGAACUCAUGAGAGACUGCCGCAGACAAUGCGGAGGAAGGCGGGGAUGACGUCAAAUCAUCAUGCCCCUUAUGACCUGGGCUACACACGUACUACAAUGGGCUUUAAUAAAGGGAAGCGAAGUCGCGAGGCGGAGCAAACCCCAGAAACAAGCUCUCAGUUCGGAUCGUAGGCUGCAACUCGCCUACGUGAAGUCGGAAUCGCUAGUAAUCGCAGGUCAGCAUACUGCGGUGAAUACGUUCCCGGGCCUUGUACACACCGCCCGUCACACCACGAAAGUCGGAAGUGCCCAAAGCCGGUGGGGUAACCUUCGGGAGCCAGCCGUCUAAGGUAAAGUCGAUGAUUGGGGUGAAGUCGUAACAAGGUAGCCGUAUCGGAAGGUGCGGCUGGAUCACCU
Molecule: ribosomal RNA, 586 nt
Filed under: uncultured Veillonella sp.
Lineage: Bacteria; Bacillati; Bacillota; Negativicutes; Veillonellales; Veillonellaceae
Description: bacterial SSU rRNA
Rfam family: Bacterial small subunit ribosomal RNA
Source: RNAcentral